UGGGGAAUAUUGGACAAUGGGCGCAAGCCUGAUCCAGCCAUGCCGCGUGAGUGAAGAAGGCCUUAGGGUUGUAAAGCUCUUUUAGUGGGGAAGAUAAUGACGGUACCCACAGAAUAAGCCCCGGCUAACUUCGUGCCAGCAGCCGCGGUAAUACGAAGGGGGCUAGCGUUGUUCGGAAUCACUGGGCGUAAAGCGCAUGCAGGCGGACUGAUAAGUCGGGGGUGAAAUCCCGGGGCUCAACCUCGGAACUGCCUUCGAUACUGUCAGCCUUGAGUCCGGGAGAGGUGAGUGGAAUUCCUAGUGUAGAGGUGAAAUUCGUAGAUAUUAGGAAGAACACCAGUGGCGAAGGCGACUCACUGGCCCGGUACUGACGCUCAGAUGCGAAAGCGUGGGGAGCAAACA
RNAcentral lists this ribosomal RNA (402 nucleotides) under uncultured Hyphomicrobiales bacterium. Its description in RNAcentral is "uncultured Rhizobiales bacterium partial 16S ribosomal RNA". It matches the Rfam family "Bacterial small subunit ribosomal RNA", at positions 355 to 774 of the family's 1533-position model. Lineage: Bacteria; Pseudomonadati; Pseudomonadota; Alphaproteobacteria; Hyphomicrobiales. The record is from RNAcentral.